CAGCAGUGAGGAAUAUUGGUCAAUGGACGGGAGUCUGAACCAGCCAAGUAGCGUGCAGGAUGACGGCCCUAUGGGUUGUAAACUGCUUUUGUGCGGGGAUAAAGUGUGGGACGCGUCCCAUAUUGCAGGUACCGCAUGAAUAAGGACCGGCUAAUUCCGUGCCAGCAGCCGCGGUAAUACGGAAGGUCCGGGCGUUAUCCGGAUUUAUUGGGUUUAAAGGGAGCGUAGGCCGGAGAUUAAGCGUGUUGUGAAAUGCCGCGGCUCAACCGUGGCACUGCAGCGCGAACUGGUUUUCUUGAGUGCGCGCGACGCAGGCGGAAUUCGUGGUGUAGCGGUGAAAUGCUUAGAUAUCACGAGGAACCCCGAUUGCGAAGGCAGCUUGCGGGAGCGCAACUGACGCUGAAGCUCGAAGGUGCGGGUAUCGAACAGGAUUAGA
This 436-nucleotide ribosomal RNA is filed under the name uncultured Prevotella sp. RNAcentral's name for it is "bacterial SSU rRNA". It matches the Rfam family "Bacterial small subunit ribosomal RNA", at positions 349 to 782 of the family's 1533-position model. The record is from RNAcentral. Lineage: Bacteria; Pseudomonadati; Bacteroidota; Bacteroidia; Bacteroidales; Prevotellaceae.